GACGAACGCUGGCGGCGUGCUUAACACAUGCAAGUCGAACGGAAAGGCCCUGCUUUUGUGGGGUGCUCGAGUGGCGAACGGGUGAGUAACACGUGAGUAACCUGCCCUUGACUUUGGGAUAACUUCAGGAAACUGGGGCUAAUACCGGAUAGGAGCUCCUGCUGCAUGGUGGGGGUUGGAAAGUUUCGGCGGUUGGGGAUGGACUCGCGGGUUAUCAGCUUGUUGGUGGGGUAGUGGCUUACCAAGGCUUUGACGGGUAGCCGGCCUGGGAGGGUGACCGGCCACAUUGGGACUGAGAUACGGCCCAGACUCCUACGGGAGGCAGCAGUGGGGAAUAUUGCACAAUGGGCGGAAGCCAGAUGCAGCAACGCCGCGUGCGGGAUGAUGGCCUUCGGGUUGUAAACCGCUUUCGCCUGUGACGAAGCGUGAGUGACGGUAAUGGGUAAAGAAGCACCGGCUAACUACGUG
RNAcentral lists this ribosomal RNA (468 nucleotides) under uncultured bacterium. RNAcentral describes it as "partial 16S ribosomal RNA". It matches the Rfam family "Bacterial small subunit ribosomal RNA", at positions 28 to 507 of the family's 1533-position model. The record is from RNAcentral.